This 449-nucleotide ribosomal RNA is filed under the name uncultured bacterium. RNAcentral's name for it is "partial 16S ribosomal RNA". It matches the Rfam family "Bacterial small subunit ribosomal RNA", at positions 354 to 796 of the family's 1533-position model. The record is from RNAcentral.
GUGGGGAAUCUUCCGCAAUGGGCGAAAGCCUGACGGAGCAACGCCGCGUGAAUGAAGAAGGCCUUCGGGUCGUAAAGUUCUGUCUUUAGGGACGAAUGGGUAUGCGCAAAUAGUGUAUGCUUUGACGGUACCUUAGGAGGAAGCUCCGGCUAACUACGUGCCAGCAGCCGCGGUAAUACGUAGGGAGCAAGCGUUGUCCGGAAUUACUGGGCGUAAAGGGCGCGUAGGCGGGAAUGCAAGUCAGAUGUGAAAACUCCGGGCUCAACUUGGAGAUUGCAUUUGAAACUGUGUUUCUUGAGGGCAGGAGAGGAAAGUGGAAUUCCUAGUGUAGCGGUGAAAUGCCUAGAUAUUAGGAGGAACACCAGUGGCGAAGGCGACUUUCUGGACUGUACCUGACGCUGAGGCGCGAAAGCGUGGGUAGCAAACGGGAUUAGAAACCCCGGUAGUCC